RNAcentral lists this ribosomal RNA (585 nucleotides) under Unio crassus. RNAcentral describes it as "partial 12S ribosomal RNA". The record is from RNAcentral. Lineage: Eukaryota; Metazoa; Mollusca; Bivalvia; Unionida; Unionidae.
AUUCCACAAAUCGGAGCAGUCAUUAAUUUUUGGUUAUCAGAUUAACUUUUAAUGUAAAAAGUAAAUUAAAACUAAAUCCAAUACAACCAUAACUUUAACUACCCCAACAAACCAUAACUUUAGAACUCGGAUUAGAUACCCGACUACUAUAUGGCCCAACAUAAAAAAGAAUACUACAAGCGAAAGCUUAAACCUCAAACAAUGUGGCGGUGCUUUACUCCCCAUCAGGGGAUCCUGUGGCUUAAUUCGAUAAUCCACGAUAAUCUUAGCUACUCUCGUGCUUCCAGCUUGUGUAUGGCCGUUUAUGCUUGCUCGAAAAAGAAAAAAAAGGAAGCAAUAGAACUAAUUCAUUCAAAAAUUCAGGUGACAUACAGCCAAUGGGGAGCAGAUCCAUGGGAUACAAAUAAAUAUACUAACAGAUUUAAAGUUACAAAUCUUUAAUGAAGGAGGACUUGAAAGUAAGACUUAAUUUCCACAAAAUAAGUCUGAAUAAGAACUAAAGCGCGUACAAAUCGCCCGUCACUCCGACAACAAAGUAGGAUAAGUCGUAACACAGUAGGGGUAAUGGAAAUUGCCCCUAUCACA